CCGAUACAUCAAAAGUUCUCCUUUCUCCAGCAUUCUGUUGAGGUAAGCUUCUUCAUAUGAUUUCUUUGGUUUUUUUGUGAUCUUCUUUGUUUUCCUCAAAAUUGAUGAUUUUUUCUUCUUUUUCAGUUGGUUUUAGUGUUGAUGUUCAAUUUUUGUUAUGUGGUUGUGUUUUUCCUGUUUAAUUACUGAUUUUUGCUUUGUUUAUUACAUGCAACAAUUAAUUUAGUCUGUCUUCAUCAUAAUUCUUUUGAAUCUUAUCUGUUCAUAGAUGGUUCUUUGUCGAAAUUAACUUUUUGGGUUCCUUAAUUCCAGUUGUUUUUUCCAUCAUACUUCUUUUGGACUUCCUCUGUUUGUAUAUGUUGGUUUUCCAUUGGAAUUAACUUUUUGGGUUUCUUCAUUUUAAUCAUAUACUGUUGUGGGUUUCGCUUCGAGUUCUUUUUACAUCAUUGCAUUAACUUUUUGAAAUUAUUUUAAUUUACAGUGUGAAAAUUUAAAGAUCUGCAACUACUUAUGCCAGAAUUUGAACUAUCGAUGUGUCUUCUUAGCAAAUUCAAGGAUCUGGAACUACUUAUACCAGAUUUGAACUACGGGACCUGAGAGAAUUAGAGAACCGAUUAUUAUGGGUGCUUCGUUUGGUCAUGGGGAGAAAGUCAAUCUGCAUCUAGCCAGGGAAGCUGGCCACUCCUAUUGCCAAAUUGUCCGUGCUGCUAAUAUGAGAGUCAGAGAGAUAGAAAAGGCUCUUAUUAGAGGCAAUCAUUGAGUAUCCUACAACACACGUGUUUCAACACCAUUUGCUAUAGAUUUGUUGACCAAUCAAGUAGAACAAAAAAUGAGAAGGUAUGUGCAGGUUUGGACAAUGCGAUGAGAUGUGUUGUAAGAGUCAUGUUCUGAAGGAUUAACAAUGGAGUGUUUAUAUUGUUCGUGCCCCUGACUCUACUUGCUAUGUGAGGGUUUGCCAAUUGAGGAUUUAGGAGUGCAAAUGUAUUCUUUCAUUUCACAGCUGAGUUGAGCAGUCAUAUGUUAUUGUUGUGCGAAAUUCGAGAUAAUACGUGAAAAUAUAAACGCAAAAAACAAGACAACAGAUUUACGUGGUUCACCAAUAAAUUGGCU
Molecule: long non-coding RNA, 1110 nt
Organism: Solanum lycopersicum (tomato)
Lineage: Eukaryota; Viridiplantae; Streptophyta; Magnoliopsida; Solanales; Solanaceae
Source: RefSeq, a predicted model, not a curated record